This is a long non-coding RNA of Alligator mississippiensis (American alligator), 2279 nucleotides long. RefSeq lists it as uncharacterized. The record is from RefSeq and is a predicted model, not a curated record. NCBI's taxonomy places the organism in Eukaryota, Metazoa, Chordata, Crocodylia, Alligatoridae. The transcript has 3 exons.
UAAUCAGGGCAGUUCACUGCUGGCAGGCCAGGCAGUAACAUUGUGUGGCUGAUAGGCUGACUACAACAUCCUGGAGGCCGGGAGCACUGUGUCAUCUGGAUGCCAUCUGCGAGGCUUGGGCUGUGGUGUAGGAGAGGAACAGAGCUGCAGAUAGUGCCCCCUGGCAUCGAGUCCAGGAUGAGAAGGCAGCACAUAUUCAGUGCUGAAGCCUGUCUUGCACAAGUAACUGGGGAUGACAGCGACACAUCCACUGAUGAAAUCUUAUCCCAAGGCAGUGAGGAUGCUGACUUUGUUCCAGACAUGGGAGACUGUUCCGCACAAGAAGACCAUGUGUCUAUGGAAGUUUCAUCCAGCUCAGAUAAGGAGAAGUUGGUGCCACAAGCAGAAGUGAUGCCAAACUUCCAGUGGGAAAGGAAAAAGGACCAGUACAGAGCUGCUGUGGAAGACCUAGGAGAGGUACAGCAGGACAUUGGGCAGAACCACUGCCAUCACCCCAGAAAAUAUUGCAGAUGAUGACACCUUUAGAGGAAGAAAAGGCAGCGUGUGGGGGGAAAAAAUCCAUAGCUAAUACAUCAUUGGAGAACAGCCAAGGAUAUAGUCCAUGAAAGUGCUGGGCCAACAAGAGAAAAUAAUAAAGACACAGUGGUGGAAACGUUCCACCUGUUUCUCUCACAAGAUAUCCUGACUGUUAUCAUAAGAGGAACAAACAGAAAGGCAGAAAGAAGAUUCAGGGAGUGGAAUGAUAGCCAUCCUGAAAAUAGAAAGGAGUGGAAAAAGCUGGCUGAAACAGAGCUGACAGCCUACAUUGCUCUCCUACUGCUGAGUGAUCUAUACCACGGUGGUUGCGAGACACUGGAGGAGUUGUGGGAACAACACACUGGGCAUCCUUGCUUCUGUGCCACCAUGAGCUUAAAAUGAUUCUGUCAAAUCACUAACUACCUGAGAUUUGACAACAAACUGACACAUGAGGAAAGGAGAGCUGUGGACAAGCUUGCUGCCUUCAGCAAUAUGUGGAUACAAUUUGUGGAGCAGCUCAGGGAAUGGUAUAUUCCAGGAAUACACCUGAUGGUUGGUGAGCAGCUCACUGCAUUCAGGGGUCGCUGUCCCUUAAGACAGUAUAUGUCCAGCAAGCCUGCCUAAUAUGGCUUGAAAAUUUGGUGGUGCUGUAAUACAGCAACAUCAUUCUCCCUGUCUGGAGACCUCUAUCUGGGCAAGCAACCAGAAGCUCCAUGCCAAGGUAAUCUUGGUACCCUGGCCGUUGAGAAACCGGGUCAUCUUUGGUAGAAGACGGGGAAGGAAUAUUGUGGGUGACAAUUGCUUCACAAGUACUGACCUGGCAGAAAGACUGCUACAGCAGAAUUUGACCUAGGUGGCUGUGAUUUGGAAAAACAAGGCCGAUUUCCCAAAUGAAAUGCAAGCAAAUCAAAGAAGAGAAACUUUUUCAUCCAUUUUUGCUUUUAAUGGUGAAUUCACCAUAGUUUCCUAUGUUCCAAAAAAAUCCGAAGUUGUGCUGUUGCUGUCAACUGUGCACCAUGACCUGUCAGCAGGUAGAGAGCAAAGAAAGCCAGACAUCAUCCAUGACUACAAUAAAACCAAGGGUGGGGUGGAUAACCUUGACUUUAGUUCAUAUGACCACCUGCAGAUGGAAUAUCAGCACUAUAUCUAUCUAUCUAUAGUGUCACUAUCAAUGACAUUAUAUUUCAAUAUGCUGGAAAUGGCUGCCAUUGCCAGCCUCAUCAUUUGGCUAGGCCACAACGCAAACUAGAAACAAAGAUCAUAUUUAAGAAGGUGGUGCUUUUUUUUGAAGAACAGUUGAUUGACAGACUAAUAAAACGAAGAAUGGUGGAUACACAUAAUCUGUCUAAGUCUGUCAAGUCUGGUAUGACCUCCCUAAAUUACAAAUUGCUCCAACACACCCCAGUAGAACCUUCUGUAAGCAUGAGUGGACGUUGUACUUUUUGUCCAAGGACAGACGACUGCAAAACCUGGAAACUAUGCAAAGAUUGUAAGCAAUUUGCUUGUGUGCACCACAGUACAUCACUGCUGCUUUGUAAGGAAUGCAAUAUUUAGUUAAAACACUUAGGAAAUGUUUUGGGCAGUAAUUGCUAGUUUGAAAACAGUGUGAACUGCAGACUUAGCAAAUUGUUCAUUCACUUUUUGAAACUAAAAAAAGUUUAAAUUUUAUUCAUAGUUCUAGUUAAAUAAUAUUUUGAGUUCAAAUCAUCAUAAAUACUCUUUCAAACAAUCUGUAUGCUUAAUAAAUAGUUUUUGGUACAUUC